Long non-coding RNA from Cebus imitator (Panamanian white-faced capuchin), 6712 nucleotides. RefSeq lists it as uncharacterized. The record is from RefSeq and is a predicted model, not a curated record. NCBI's taxonomy places the organism in Eukaryota, Metazoa, Chordata, Mammalia, Primates, Cebidae. The transcript is spliced from 2 exons.
UACUGAUGGAGAGGCCUUGCCCUCCUAUACAGGGCUUCUGUGGAUGGGACAGGGCCUCCCCUGCUCCUGAGCAGCCACUGGCUCCAUUGGAGCUAAAUUCCUAGCAUCCAGGUAGUCCUGGGACAUUCUGCCUUUGCUCUGUAAAUGAGGAGGCCUUUUCUCCUGCUGACUUGGAGGUUCCUUCCCUUCACUGCUUUGUCCUGUAUUCAUCAGGCAAAUUCAAAAUCAUGCAUUUAAACUCUUAGGAAAACAAAAUCUUAAAACUGACACAGAUAUCGGGGUGCUAAUCAACUAACAAAUCUUGGUUCUUACAUAAUUUGAACUUGAAAGGAUACCACACUGAACUCUGUUCUUUCCUCCCUCCUCACCUCACUCCCUGCAGGGAGCUCAAUGCCCAUGUGGAAGCGGUUGGCAUCCCCAAGUGGGAGGGAGUGGGGCGUCCUACCAUCUUCUAAUGUGACUUCAAGGGACAGUGCAAAUGUUGAAUGCAGAGCUUCACUCUAAUGUGGAACAGUAACUGUGAGUAUAUUACCCGUGCUGUCCUCAGCACUGUACACUAAAGGACCAGCUUUUCCAAGUCUAGGAAAACAAUGGUAGAAACAAAUAGAAAUACAUUUUCCCUAGUAAAUAGAGCAAUAGGAAUUGGAGCUAAGCAGGGACCAUGAACUCCUGCCCUGAAAUCCUCUCUCCAGGUUGAGGAACAGACCUGUGUAGGCCCUGGCUGAUCAAGCCUGUGUCCUGGCUGGUAAAAACACAACCACCUCUGUCAUCAUCUGAAGCCAGCGGGGAUCUGUAGCCAUCCUCGCAUUGCCUAGACCCAGGAAGGUGAGGUCUCCUGGGCAACCAGCAUUGCCCCCAUUGUUCCCCAAGGGUGACCCUAGGCAGAUGACUCACCUGGGUGGCCCAGGAAGGUGCUCACCUUGUUCUCUGGGGCUCCAAGCAACAGCGGGCCAGGGAGGGCUGGCUUUGCACACUAUGUUGCAUGACCCAGGCCCCCUGGUGGCAUGAGAAAAACUCCCCUCUGCUGUUGAGCCCAGGUAGGGGCUUUUCUUUGCAAAGGGUUGAGGAGAUAUUCAAGACUGAGCUGGCAGGUUAGGGUCCAGGAGGCCUGUGAGGUACCAUUGCUUACUUCCUGAGGAAACUGGCUCUUGUCCUGGGCCACGUAGUUCCAUGUUGGGCUCCAGGCUAGUGGUGCUUCUGUCCGUCAAGGGUGUCUGGGUGAAUUGUAUGUUAACCUGGAAUUGGUAGGGAUAUUGGGGGUUGAAUAGCAAAGUGAUUUGGGGAUUCAGAAAGUUUUCUGAUAUAAUUUUAUCAAUGAGCAAUUUCUCAGUGGAUUUUUAUACCUCAGGGCCGUUUGCAAAUCUUUAGCUUUUCGUAUUUCUUAGGUGUUGAAGUUGGUUAAUAGGAGAGAGACGUUCGCAGACUUCUAAGUUGAGGUUCAUUUGCCUCCAUUUGAGGGGUGAGUGGUGCACCAAGGCUGAGCUUGCCGCCGUUACUUAGCAAGGCUGUGACAGGCGAGCCUUCCUCCUCUAGCACUUGCAAGCUUUCUGUCUCAAUCACGGUUUGCUUGCUUGUUUCCCUUUUGCUACCUUCUUUCCUAUCUGAAGAUUCAUAUUCCAGAGUCCCUGGUCAACCCUACGGACGCGAAGAGGGGAUGGCAGUGCACAGCAGCUGCAGAGUAGGGAGCAGCUUUCCUCCCGCCAUCCUAGGCUGGGGCCUUCUUUGCUUCUCAGACCACUGUGGUUGGCGCAGCUCAAGGAAGCCUUCUCUCUGUGUGCUACAGCCAUAGCCAUCAUCUCUACUAGAAUUGUUCUAAAUAUCUUUUGAUGGGAAAUACCAGGUUGAACUUGAAGCAACAUGGAAACAAAGGUUCUAGCUGCAAGAGAGUAAAGUUCUAGGUGUUCGUAUGCCAAGGUUUAUAUGUACACAGAUCUAACACAUACUGUAAGAAGGACUUGACUACACAAGGUUUUCAGGUUUUCAUACCCAUUGGGACCAUGAACAGAUGAGAAUGACUGGGAGUAUUGUCUUGCCUUGUUUGGAAGGAUACCUUCUGGCAUGUGCCCACAUCUGAUCCACAUGGAUUCACUUUUAGGAUACAGUUCUUUAGGGGGCAGAUUCCUCUGCAGAUUCACCCUGAAGAGAACUAUCCAGUGGACCUGGUGGCGCUUGGGUGCCUGCCCUUUUUAUUGGAGGCUCAGGCUUCCAGAGCAGAGUGAAGUUGGAAAGAAUGAAGUCUUAGGAUUCUUAUUUCCCAGAGAGCCCCAGCCUAGCUUCUGAUUCAUUACUUCCCAAGUCUGAAGUCUACUGUGAAGGUGAAGUUAUCCAUUUUUUCUUGUUUCUGGAGUCCUUUAAACCCACAAGUAUAUAUGCUUUAUUUUAUAUUAUUUAUUAUGUACAUAUGCCUGGUAGUACUUCAUCUGUGACUAGGACAAAAUCUAUCUUGAAGCUUCCUCAUCCAUGGAUCCUAGGGUUCUGCUAUCCCUUAAAGCAGGUGAAAGGGUAGUGCUUUUUGUUUUAAAAAAGAGGUUGCUGCUUUUAUGUUGGCCUAGCUUCCCCAGCCCCUUUAGUUGGGCCCACCUGUAUUCUUCAGGUCCCGUGUUUUGGAUGAGGAUGGAGGCAGGUCUACCUUGUGGCAAGGCCUCUCAAGUACCUCCAUGAAAUGUUUCUGAGGUGGUUUCUUGGUGAUAGGCUCUCUUCCCCUGUGCAGGGCAGAGUCUAGCUGAGUCUACAGCCUCCUUCCUCCCAAAGCAGGUCAGUUGCCUGGCCCAACAAGGUUAAUGGUUUCUUCUGCUUACCUUGGACUGCAGAAUCUAUCUUUCUGGAUAAUGGAAGCUGCCUGCCCAUCUGGGCUUAGUAUGCCUUUUCUUGGUUUUAAGGCCCAGUGCCAACAUUGCCUUGGCCCUCAAGACCCUGCUUUGUGUCUGACUUUCAUCCUUCUCAGCCUUUAUUCACUGUAUCAUAGUGUACAGUUCAUGCAUUUGAGCAGUGAAGUUUUCUGAACACAGUAUGCAGAGCUGUGUACAUAAACCUAAAUAAGCACAAAUGACAUGUAUAGGAUUAAUAAGCUGAUUGUCAUAAUGAAUGCAUUUUAUAAUUCAAAUGAUGUUGUAGAUGUACAAUCUCUCCUAUUUAUUUUGUACCAAUUUAUUUGUAAAUUUUGUGAUUGUUUUACAAGGUUUUUGUUAUUUCUAUUCUAUUUAGAUAAAAGAUGUUCUGUUCACCCUUCUAGCAGACGUGUGUUCCCUCUUCCCUUUCAUCUAUGCAACACCAACCAUGCCAUUGUGUUCAGCCUGGCUGAACCAACUGCCCUGCCCACUUGCCUGGCUUUGCUGGUGGAAAAGCUGGGACUGGACCUCAGCAUGGCAACAUAGAAGAGCAUAUUCUUUGGACAGUGUGAAGUCUUAAAAGAAAUACCUAGCAGUGCGAGAACAGUGUGGCGUGCUGCGUUCCUGUCGGGAGGUGUGUGCCGGGCAGUGUGGGUUUCUGCUUUCUGGCUGCCUGUGCCUGUGGUCAUCCCUGCUUCUUAGCAGUAGUGCAUGUUUUUCUUCCAUCAUCCUCAAGGUUGCUCUGGUAGAGAUUUCAUUCUCAGGGCCUCCCAAAAGUUGUGUAUCAUUUGAAAUUGUUCUAUUUGAGGAAAACCUUUAAGAAAAGCUGGAUUCUCUGGUCACCAAUAAAGAUCCUCAUGAGAAACAAAAGUAUUUAAGCCCUAAACUACAAAGCCAAGUGAGGAAUUGGAGUGUCAACUGUAUGGCAAUAGCUAGAUCAUAGUUACCAUUUUUCCCACCAUCAAAGAGAUUAAAUAGUUUCCAUAACAUGGAAUUUGGAUAAGGUUCCUACCCUAAUACAGACUUAAAUAUGCAGUUGUUUGUCUCAGGCUAUUUGUGGUGAAUAAGCAGAGUAUUUAUUUAAAAAUGACCAAGCAGCCCUGGAAAAAUUGCUGGGCUUUAAAGUUGUUGACAAAGUAUUUCUUAAAUAAAUAUGUCUGAUUUAGAAAUAUCUAAACAUGGACAACACAAUUUUUAAAUCUGACAUGCAAUUGCAUGUGGCUUUUAUAAGUGGUUCCUUAAAAACAAUGCUAAUGUGACUUAAGGAUUUGUAGUUCUAUUAAAAACCACUUCUAAAAGUAUCUUAGGGUAGCUUGAAAAGUCUGCCUUAUUAUUUUAGGUCUCAGCAGAGCUAUGCUUAUGGCAAAAGGAAAUAUCUUAGGUCUAAACAGAACACUGAACUUUCUUGGCUGUGACCAACUUUUCUGAAGUUCACCAUGAGUUUUCACUGACAAUCUUUGCAGAGAUGAUGUACUGAGCAAUUCCUCUCCCCAAGGAAACCCAGCAGGGCCUGGGUCUGCUGUACCUCUGACCAGCUGCUGGGGAGGCGAGGCUCCCUGUUAGUCAGUACAUACUGUAAGGUUGGGAGCUCCAUCUAGCACCCAAGAAGGGGCUGCCUGGUGUUCUACAAUGCCUGUAAAUGGUGUUUUCAAAAUGCCUAGGAAAAAAUUCGGUAAAGAGAUGGCAGACUGUUCGUCUCAUGGUGUAAAACUCCUCAGAAUUUUUUUUUCAAAGGAAAAGUAUACCUUUUAAGUUCAACUUCCUUAACUACUGGCAACAGAGAGAAGUUCCUAAUUUAUGUUUUAAAUUAGGCACCAUUUUGCUGUGGGUUUUGUGGAAUCCUAGAGCUCCUUAAUAGUACAUUUCGGUGGUCCUAGGGAGAGUUGUGACUAGCAGUGGAGUUCUUAUUCCAGCUGGUUGUGUGCUUUUCACUUUCCUGUCUUUGGACCCAGAGAAUCAUUUGCCAUGGAAUCAUCUGGCUAGUAAGAGACACUUAUAUGGAUGUAACACAAGAAGUGGUAAAUCAAAGCCAUCAUGUGGCCGUAAAAGGGACAAUAUGUAAAUAUACUUACUAUGAUAAGGUAGCUCUGUAGAUGUAAUAUAUUCAUAAAGUAUUUGGGUUUAAGAAAACUUGGGACUAUUUUAAACUGGGACAUCUCCAUCUUGAAUGAUAAUAAUUAGUAAUUGGGAUGACCACACAGUCUCCUAACAUGGGCAACAGUCUAAUUGCUAUUGCAAUUGCAUUUCUGACCUGAUUCUUUUAAAGGGGCAUAUAUUCCCAAUAGAUACCAUUUAGAAUGUAUGUUUCUUGGAUGACUUAUUCUAAAGCCAUAUAUAUCCAAAGUAGUGAGGCUAUACUACUAAGUAAUCGGGCUAUGUUCCCUGCUUAUAAAAUGAAUUUUUUUUUAAAAGCCUCACUUCACAGUCUGUUACAAAAAACUUUAUGGGGAAAAAACUGUGAGGCCUAUGAAAUACCACGAAUAUAAUCAUGUUAUAUCAGUUCUUGAAUAUUUCUUUUUAACCAAAAGAGAUCCGGGAACGUUUUCACAUUCCUUGAAAAUACAUAUUUCCUUUAAGAGAAUGUCAAACUGAUGUUACUACACCAAAUCUAAACCCACCUGAAGACCAAUAGCUGUUACAGUUGUGCUACAGAAUAGGUCAAAGUCAGCAUUAGAAAUAUUACACUUUAUUGAAUUCUAGAGCAGCUAAUCUACCCUCCCCUGUUGACCAAUGACAAGAAUAGAAGAAAAUAUAUGAUGGCUAAACUAAGAGUCUAUAUAACCAGUUUAAGAUGUUGGAACAACUUUCACUGUACUGGUGAAACAGUUUUAAUACCCUAACAUAUACAGUAACGAUUCAUUCUUGUUUAAAACAAGAAGUGAUUUCGACUUGGGAUUUUUUUUCUUGAGGGGUUUCAUUCUUGUUGCCCAGGCUGGAGUGCAAUGGCAUGAUCUUGGCUCACUGCAAACUCCAUUUCCCAGGUUCAAGCAAUUCUCCUGCCUCAGCCUCCCAAGUAGCUGGGAUUACAGGCAUGAGCCACCACGGCCAGCUAAUUUUGUAUUUUUAGUAGAGACGGGAUUUCUCCAUGUUGGUCAGGCUGGUGUCAAACUCCCGACCUCAGGUAAUCUGCCAACUGGCCUCCCAAAGUGUUGGGAUUGUAGGCGUGAGCCACCGCGCCUGGCCUCGACUUGGGAUUCUGAGUGAAUUUAUUCAAACUGAUUGUGCUCUCUGCUUUAGUAAGGUUCUGGCUUACAGAGCCCUCUUAAUGUUCAACUUUAAUAUACAGCAGUCAACUCUAGAGGAUAAAGAAAUCUGGAAUUGGGUAGCAUGAGCCACAGCUAUAUAGCCCACACUGAUGAAUGUUCUACUGUAGGAUAAGAAGGAAGUUCCUCCCUUUCUUUUCUGGGGACUUGUUCCUUUGUCCUCUUACAGCUAAAUUCUUUCCAUAGAUUUAUCACAGAUAAGGAAAAGGUUGUUUUUGGAUAACAAAUAAUAAGCAUUUGUGCCAAUAACAAAAAAAGUAUAAAGAAUACUGUCUUUUCCCUCAAAAUUGAAUCCUACCCUAAAGCAAGUAGAGAAUACAUCUGUACAAAGCCACUGAUUGAUAGAGGCAGCCUUGCCAGAGUCACUGAGGAUGAUUUAAAGGCUUAUAAAAAGGAAACUUGACCUUAACAGAGACUACAGCUGAUCAUGGAUAUAAUAUAUUUCUCCACUGAUGAUAUACAAUACACCAUGUAAUGCACUGAAAAAGGUGGCUCUUGGAGUUAUAGCACAAUUUGUAACAUUACAGCAUUUCAGAUCACCUCUUCCCACUCUUUGUUCUACUCUGAGACCCUUCACCACCCCUUGUGUAUCUAGAUGCACUAUGACAUACUGAUGAUUUU